GAAGAAAAUUGUUGAAGUAAAUGUUGAAAACAGUCCAAACCCCCUUCUCACACAAAUACUACAAGUCGCUCGAGACAUUCAGCACGCCACCUAUGAACAUCUCGCACAAAAACAAGUCGUUCAAGAAAUUCAGCACGCCACCUAUGAACAUCUCCCACAAAUACUACAAGUCGCUCAAGAUUCAGCACGCCACCUAUGAACAUCUCCUACAAAUACUACAAGUCGCUCAAGAAAUUCAGCAUGCCACCUAUGAACAUCUCCCACAAAUAAUACAAGUCGUUCAAGAAAUUCAGCACGCCACCUAUGAACAUCUCCAACAAAUACUACAAGUCGCUCAAGAAAUUCAGCACGCCACCUAUGAACAUCUCCCACAAAUACUACAAGUCGUUCAAGAAUUUCGGCACGCCACCUAUGAACAUCUCCCACAAAUACUACAAGUUGCUCAAGAAAUUCAGCACGCCACGUAUGAACAUCUCGCACAAAUACUACAAGUUGUUUAAAAAUUUGGCAGGCCACGUAUGAACAUCUCCCAGAAAUACUACAAGUCGCUCAAGAUUCAGCACGCCACCUAUGAACAUCUCGCACAAAUACUACAAGUCGCUCAAGAAAUUCAGCAUGCCACCUAUGAACAUCUCCCAUUAAAUACUACAAGUCGCUCAAGAAAUUCAGCACGCCACCUAUAAACAUCUCCCACAAAUACUACAAGUCGCUCAAGAAAUUCAGCACGCCACCUAUGAACAUCUUCCAAUACUACAAGUCGGUCAAGAAAUUCUGCACGCCAUCUAUGAACAUCUCGCACAAAUACUACAAGUCGCUCAAGAAAUUCAGCACGCCACCUAUGAAAAUCUCCCACAAAUACCACAAGUCGUUCAAGAAAUUCAGCACGCCACGUAUGAACAUCUCCCACAAAUACUACAAGUCGUUCAAGAAAUUCAGCACGCCACCUAUGAACAUCUCCCACAAAUAAUACAAGUUGUUCAAGACAUUCAGCACGCCACGUAUGAUCAUCCCCUUGAAAUACUACAAGUCUUCAACAAAUUCAGCACGUCACCUAUGAACAUCUCACAAAUACUAUAAGUCGCUCAAGAAAAUCAGCACUCCAGGUAUUAACAUCUUGCACAAAUACUACAAGUCGCUCAAGCAAUUCAGCGUGUCACCUAUGAACAUCUUGCAUGGUGGCUUGGUGAGUCUGACUUCUGUCUUGACAAGUCACUCAAGAUAAAAUAAUCGGAUCUAACAGAAAGAGCAGGUGCUGAGUGACUCGUCUGUUAACUUGACUGACCUCGAUACGUUGCUCUCGAAUAAUGAGAACCUGACGCACGAGGAACAGUGCUGUCCAACAUUCCCAGUUUUUGGUUGGCGACUUCACUGUCGGGACUCACACAAUCUCUGCCUAUAAGCAACAAAAACAGUAUUUACAGAUAUGCAACUGGAGUGAUGAUAUGCCCUGAAGAUAUUUAUUAAUUAUACCCCCUGUUAAUUGGGGUAUAAUGGAAUCCCCUUGGACGGACGUCUAUCUGUCUGUCUUUCCUUCUGUCUGUGGGCGUUCACUUAACGAUUCAACGUUCAGCUUUCAAAUUUUCAGGACCCCAUGCAGUCACACAUCUGUACACAGCGGACAACAACGGGCUCUCUGGUCAGCUGGGCCGUUACAGGACCCCAUGCAGUCACACAUCUGUACACAGCGGACAACAACAGGCUCUCUGGUCAGCUGGGCCUGGACGCCCGGGGACAAAUCCUUGGUAUAGGCGGUGAGCUCUUGGGCCAGGAAUUUGGGGCAAAGCUGAAUGAGUCCUACCCCAAGGGUACAUCCAGUCUAACAAUGGGGCUCCAAACUUCCCUUCUCAGGGGCAGAUAUAACCUCAUCUACAAGGGCCCUUAUCAUCACAAGUUUGGCCCAGCAAAUGAUGUUCCUCAACUGCAACACAGCCACUGCAUCUUAACAGGAAAACAUGUCAAUUUACAAAGCACCCUUCCCUGAAAAUCUGGCCAAGCUAAUAAACAAUGUGAAUGCAUCAACGUGACCCUUUAGAGAAACAGGAUUCCAGGCCGAAUGUCAAACCGUCUGGGCUCCAGCAGCAGCCUCAGCCGUGGGGGUCAGGUUCAUGAUGCACCUAUGCUCUCAAUGCUCUCUGAACAUCUUAAUCUCACAGCAACAGUGGAUAACAUGCCCUUCAAGUUGGGGAUGGUUGAGGGUCUCCCAAAACCACCCAGUGCCUUGCGAUGAAAACCUCCAACAGGACUGUGACCUUGCCCUUGGACUCACCUAAUGGUCAGGUUCAAGGUCACAUGGGCUUAGAUAGUCACUGCAGUAAAAAAGUGUAUGGUUUUAAAGUAAAGAAGACUUCACAACAUGACAUCUGAGACUGCAGGGACGAAAUGACUCACGUCAGCAGAGGAAGCCAAGACACAAUACGAGAAUUUCCAGCGGCUUACCUGCUUGUAUGGGUUUAUUUUAAACCUAAUUAUUAUAUGAUUUAGUUAGGAUGUUUGCCAGUCUGUCGUUGGGUGUGUUGGUAGACCAGUUGAUUUCCUAUAACUAACUCAUCAACAAAUUGAUCUAUUGGCUUCAUACUUCACAUGUGCAUUGGUCUUGGACAGUAGAUGACCUCUAUUGAAAUUGGGGUCACUACUUCACAGAAAACCUGGGUAGCAGAGCAAUGAGUAUAUCUCAGGAGCAUUUGCAGUCACAGCAAGUGAACCAGCGGCAGUCAUCGUCUCUAGAUUCCGAGAUCCCCAUGCUUCACAACCCUCAGUCUAUGAACAUCAUGCAUAGCAAACCUUGGACGUCCAUUGACGAAAUCAAACCGGCAAAUCAGAAGGACAGCCUGUUGCUACAGUUGUUAUCAUAUUAACCCCAGUCAUACCGAAGAAGCUCAGAGAUAUAAAUGGUGUUUAAGAUGUGCUUGUCUCUGCAUACUCCAUGUCUGGUGUGAACAUGUACAAUUGAAGGUCUCUACAUACACCAUGUCUGGUGUGAACAUGUACAAUUGAAUGUCUCUACAUACACCUUGUCUGGUGUGAACAUGUACAAUUGAAGGUCUCUACAUACACCAUGUCUGGUGUGAACAUGUACAAUUGAAGGUCUCUGCAUACCCCAUGUCUGGUGUGAACAUGUACAAUUGAAGGUCUCUGCAUACUCCAUGUCUGGUGUGAACAUGUGCAACUGAAGAUCUCUACAUACCACAUGUCUGGUGUGAACAUGUACAAAUUAAUAUCUCUAUAUACCCCAUGUCUGGUGUGAACAUGUACGAUUGAAGGUCUCUACAUACCACAUGUCUGGUGUGAACAUGUACAAAUAAAGGUCUGUACAUACCCCAUGUCUGGUGUGAACAUGUACAAUUGAAGGUCUCUGCAUACUCCAUGUCGGGUGUGAACAUAUACAAUUGAAGGUCUCUACAUACUCCAUGUCUGGUGUGAACAUGUACAAUUGAAGGUCUCUACAUACCACAUGUCUGGUGUGAACAUGUUCAAUUGAAGAUCUCUACAUACCCCAUGUCUGGUGUGAACAUGUACAAUUGAAGGUCUCUACAUACCACAUGUCUGGUGUGAACAUGUACAAUUGAAUGUCUCUACAUACCACAUGUCUGGUGUGAACAUACACAAUUGAAGGUCUCUACAUACCCCACGUCUGGUGUGAACAUGUACAAUUGAAGGUCUCUACAUACCCCAUGUCUGGUGUGAACAUGUACAAUUGAAGGUAUCUACAUACCCCGUGUAUGGUGUGAACAUGUACAAUUGAAGGUCUCAUCUUUGAAAUUGGGACAGGUGGAAAAUUAAUGAAUUGAUGCAGACAGAAGUCGCGUAAUGACAAUUCAAACAAAACGUGUAAAUCCAGACAGUCUUGUGGCCAGCCAUGCUUUUAUGUGACCAUCCAAGUUGUGUUCAAAGAAAACAAUAGUUCAUGUUUUAUUGGAAUUAUGAUGCUGAUAGUCAUUUUAUGUGAAAGGCUUUUAUGAACUAUAUUUAAAUACUCAGUAUAAAAAGAUUAAGUUUACUUGAUAAAAGCAAUAAUGAACAAUAUUAUUUUAAGAGCAAAAUUAGCAAGUCUAUCCAAUUACUGUGUCUGUAUUAUGAAAUUUUAUUUUGGAAAUGUUAAGGAAAAUAUAAUGUUACUAAAUAUAUGUCUAUGAAUGUUGAUUUUAACAUUUGUCAAAGCUGUUUAAAUGAUGCUGGUAACUUUGACAAAAUUGAAAGAAAAUGUAUUAUUUUCAUGUAAAGAGACAUGCUUCAGUUUGUUUUGCUUAACAUGUAAUAUAGAGGUGGUAGUUACACACAUUGUUUAGACAGAUGGAUAAUUUUAAUGCUAAGGCUUUGAUACUCUUAAGUGUGCCCAUUGGUGUCAGGUGUUUUUGUCAAGCAUCUUGUUUAUUAUCUUAGUAUUUCAAGACAAUAUUCAUUAAUUUUAGACAAAAUCAUUUAAUCUUCCUUAAAUUGUCUAUUCGGUAUUGACUACCAGUUAUUUAUUAAUUUGCUUGAACAUGAUUUAAGAAUGACUUUUUUGUUGCUUAAAAUGCUUUAUAUGUGUUAAAACUGAGCAUUUAAAAACGAAAAUAUAAGAUGUGGGAAUAAUGUCUAAAGUUAUGAUAAUUAUUUUUUGUUUUUGUAAAGUUAAUUAUGCCUUAUAUGUUUUUGUAUAGACAUUUAGACGACCAGAUUAACCUGACCAAGAAUUCUUGAUCAAUGUGUAUAUCGGUCACUUCAUUUGUCAUUUGUAUAUAGAGCGAUUGCGAAAUGAUUGUAUUGUUAAUGAAAAUCAUGCGUUUAUUGUUGCCAUUUUGAUUUUCGCUGUUAACAUUUAUUUAUACAAACAAUUUUCAUCAUGUACAUCUUUUAGGUGCCAGAUAAUAAAAAAACAUUGCUUGUGGGAAUGCUCAUUUAAAACUUUCUUAAUGAUACAGAACAACACAUUCUGAAGAGGCAAAUAUGCUUUAGACAAUAGGAACAUCUUGUUACUAAUAUAUGUAAUGCCUUUCACUAAAUAAAGUCAAGCAACUAUUGAAAGAUUGGUGUAACUUUGUUUUGCAUUAUCUUAAGAAAAAUUAAUAUAUUCAACUUGGAAAUCAGUCAAUUGCAAAUCAAGCGAGAGUGAUUUAACAUGCUAACACUUGUCAAUAAUUGAAUUGUCUCUCUUUGUACGUAAGAUAUAGGGAUGUUGUUGCUUGAAAAACAAAGUUGUAUCCGUUGUUAGAUAAUGCUUUUGUUCAUCUCUCAACAUAACAAGUACAUUCAUACAGUUAUUAAAAAUUUGACACUCUUAAUUCUCAGCCAUCAGUUUGUAUUGGGAAUUUGUGGAAUACUUACUAAACUAAUAUACGUCUGUUUAAUGAAUUAAUAGCUAUGGUACAAUAUGAUACUCAAUGUUACAAAACAUGUGUAAUAAAAAUAUAAUGUUAUUUAUUUCAAAUCAUAAAAUUUAGUUGUCCAUACAAUGCUUACAGUUUUGCAAUUGCGACGAUAAAGGAAAUGUUCUGCUUAAAAUGUCUUUUUAAGACAUGUGAAAAUUGUAGCAAUCAUAUUGUACUUGUAUUUAUAUUAUACAUUAUAAGAAUUUACUUACAGCUGAUGAUAGCGGCAGUUUACUAGUUGUGUAACAGUUUGUUUCACUCGACCAUUAUACCAUAUUGCCUUAAAAAUGUGAUUGUUUAUACUGAACUUUAAUUGAAUGCAUGAAACAUGAUUGUUCUGUUGCUUAACAGCUGAAAAUAGCUUGAUGUUUGUUAAUUGUGUGAAAUGUUUCAAAUAAAUCAUAUUGAUACAUAGAAAAUAAAAUUACAUUUUGCGUUAAUUUGAAUGCAUAACAAACAAUUGUUACCAUACAAACACAGUCAUAGUGAACUAAAUUGAUAUUUUGAGAUGCAAUUUUUACAAUAAUGUGUUAAUAUUUUCAUCUAUUCUAAAUAAACAUUUUGCAUUCGUAAAUAUAGGGUGUAUAUAUACUUUAUAGAAACUGCUUAGACGCCUUAUUUAAAUUGCGUGUGUACCUCAUAUUGAUUAAAGACUAUUAAUUAUUGCAUAUUUGUUUGUGCCUAUGUCUAACUUAUCUCUUCAUAGUCCUUACAUUACUGCAAAUAGUAUUUUAAUAAAGUUAAAAUAUUUAUCUAAACUAUAACCAGGCAAAGACCUAUAGAUUACAAAAUCUAUAGGUCUUUGAACCAGAUUAUCUGUUAAAUUAAGUUUCGUGCAUUUGUAUUGUCUAGCUUAUUAAAUUGAAGUGUCUAUAUUCUCGCCUACAUAAAUUGUCGAUGUAUGGUUUAGACAAAUCACAUUUCACAACUCAUGUUGUUUUUAUCCAUCAUUAAUAACCAGUGUUUAGUCCAUAGAGGUUACAUUAUGCUAAAUAUUUCAGUUGUGCAAUGCUUUGCUAUCUUAAUAAAUCAACGCUAUUUAUUGAUUUUCUAUAUGGGCACUUCCCAUGACUUCAGGGAGGGCAAACAUUGUUUGCUUGAAGGUAAGAAACUUAAUGUUGACAUCUUGAAAGAUGGCAGUAAACAUUUAACUGUAGAGUAGCUGGGAAAAAGAUGGCUGUUAAACGAUGUAAGACAGAACUCCCCACAAGAUAUGUCAUGCAUGCAAAACGCAUGACCUAUCUUUUUUUCUUUUUUUUUUUGAUCGGAAUGAUCUUUAAGAACUGGUAUGGUUAUGAGGGUCUCUAUGUGCAAAAUGUUGCAUUUAUUUUGUGUUAAAGUUAUUGCUUUAACAUUGAAUUUGUUAUGGAAUUAUUAUAGUUUAUUUGACUUAUAGAGAUAUACAUAUUUAUUUUAAUGAUGUAUUUUUCCUGAUCCAAGUAUGUUGUUGCAGACUAUUUAAAGUAGAUUACUACAAGUUAUCCCAUUCAAAUGGGAAUAUUAUUGUAAUGUGGAAGAGUGGAGUGAGUUUAAAUAAAAAUACUAUGAAC
Molecule: long non-coding RNA, 6898 nt
Organism: Dreissena polymorpha
Lineage: Eukaryota; Metazoa; Mollusca; Bivalvia; Myida; Dreissenidae
Exons: 14
Source: RefSeq, a predicted model, not a curated record